GUCUAUGGCCACACCACCCUGAACGCUCUCUCGUCUGAUCUCAGAAGCUAAGCAAGGGACUGGCUGGGUUAGCACUUGCACGGGAGAACGAAAGAGAAAGCAGAGGGUGGGAGGGA
Molecule: ribosomal RNA, 116 nt
Filed under: Propithecus coquereli (Coquerel's sifaka)
Lineage: Eukaryota; Metazoa; Chordata; Mammalia; Primates; Indriidae
Source: RNAcentral